UCCUCUUGGCCCUCAGGAGCUCCUGUCAGCUCUGGGGGCCCCUUUUGCGGGGCUCCUGGGCAGGUGCUGUCGGCUGUGCAUGCACUUCCAGCCCAGAGCACCUGCCGCCUGUCCGGGGAUCCCCAGAAUAGCAGAGCACACAGGACAGAGUGCAGAGGAGUGGGGCUGACAGCCUCCGAGUGGGGCCCCCAUGUGUACUUCCCACAAAUGUGAGUCAGCGCGUCAUCCAGCAGGGCUCCUUCCCCUGCAGCUGCCUCCAGCUCAGCUUUACUGUUUCCCUCACAGCCAUUUAGAACAAUUUCCCCUGCUUCUGUGCAGCCCUCUACUCAGAGUGCAGUGAGGGCGAAAGCUUGGUUAACCACAGAAUGCAGCCGUAGAACACUGUCCCUCCCGCGUCAGAACGCACAGCCUGUUGUCCUGCCAUAGAUCUCCUCUCCUCCUCCUGCCGUGGCUCCUACCUUCCCGCUCUGGUUCCCUGUGCCAACCACUCAAGGGCCCUCCUGGCAGGGGAACCAUGUGUCCUUCAUCCUGUAUCUGCCUCGUGGUGCUGAGCCUGGCAUCCUCUGGGAUCAUCCGAGCUGUUACAUGGGAUGAAUGGAUAAAAAUAUACUCAUUAAUGAAGAAAUAUUCCUUGGAAGCCUGGGGGUGCUACUGCUUUUAGCAGAAAUGAAAAAACAAGAAUCCCAAAUUCCAAAAUGCUCAACAAGUGAAAGACAGUGGACCGAGCCUGCAUUCAGCAUCAUCAGACCCAGAUCCCAUGAGCCCAGAGGCACCGUACCCCAGAUUUGCAGUGGCUCUCACUCCGCGUUUGGCUGAAUGUAGCAGGGCCACAUGGACGGAUGGCAAGGGGGAAGCAACCGAAUUAUGCUGCUGCUGCAAAAUCACUUCAUGAGCUACACAACCUGCUCCUAAUUUAUUUUCCUGUCGCCUGUCCUUGCAGACCAGACGCUCAAAGCUAAAGUUGUUUUUAUUAAAGUUAAGGCUUUGUUAGAACACCUGUCGUUGGGUGGUCAGUGUGGGGCUUUCCCCUUGGGCACGAAGGCUCACCUCCCUCAGAGGGAAGCCUCAGAGUGGCUGUGCCUGCAUUUGCAGACUCAGUUUCUCCAGACUCCAAGCCCCCAUAUAGGAUUGAGUCUGCCUGGCUUAUUUUGAAUGCCCAACGUCAAGUCCGCGUGAAGCCCUGAAGACCCAGUGAUGCAGGACCUUGUCUGACUCUUUUUGCCUCAAACACUCUCAUGCAUCGUUACAUGAGUGUGCCUGCUGUGCCCUUAACAACCUCAGCCGGUAUUUCCUUGGUUCAUCCUCUCAGCUCACAGGUAUUGCUCUGCACCUAAGACCCAAUUUUUUUUUUUUUUUUACAAACUAUGCCUUUGGGUGUAUUCCCCGUUUUCUA
Molecule: long non-coding RNA, 1393 nt
Organism: Canis lupus familiaris (dog)
Lineage: Eukaryota; Metazoa; Chordata; Mammalia; Carnivora; Canidae
Exons: 4
Source: RefSeq, a predicted model, not a curated record